AGUGAACGCUGGCGGUAGGCCUAACACAUGCAAGUCGAACGGCAGCACAGUAAGAGCUUGCUCUUACGGGUGGCGAGUGGCGGACGGGUGAGGAAUACAUCGGAAUCUACUUUUUCGUGGGGGAUAACGUAGGGAUACUUACGCUAAUACCGCAUACGACCUACGGGUUAAAGCAGGGGUUCUUCGGACUUUGCGCGAUUGAAUGAGCCGAUGUCGGAUUAGCUAGUUGGCGGGGUAAAGGCCCACUAAGGCGACGAUCCGUAGCUGGCCUGAGAGGCUGAUCAACCAAACUGAAACUGAGACACGGACCAGACACCUACGGGAGGCCGCAGUGGGGAAUAUUGGACAAGGGGCGCAAGCCUGAUCCAGCCAUACCGCGUGGGUGAAGAAGGCCUUCGGGUUGUAAAGCCCUUUUGUUGGGAAAGAAAAGCAGCAGGUUAAUACCCCGCUGUUCUGACGGUACCCAAAGAAUAAGCACCGGCUAACUUCGU
Molecule: ribosomal RNA, 491 nt
Filed under: uncultured bacterium
Lineage: Bacteria
Description: partial 16S ribosomal RNA
Rfam family: Bacterial small subunit ribosomal RNA
Source: RNAcentral